RNAcentral lists this long non-coding RNA (416 nucleotides) under Brassica napus (rape). Its description in RNAcentral is "long non-coding RNA (BNAP_LNC017207)". The record is from RNAcentral. Lineage: Eukaryota; Viridiplantae; Streptophyta; Magnoliopsida; Brassicales; Brassicaceae.
UUAUGCUAAAUGUUAAAUAUAUCAAAUUUUAGUAAAAAAAAAUACUUUAACCUUUGACCAGGCUAUACACAAAAAAAUAAAAAAAUAAUUCUCUCCUCUGUCACAUUACGAGAAAUCAGUCGAUGAACUCGAUGAAAGAAGAAUCGAACGAGCAGCUUCUCUGUCUUUUGACGAAUCCUCCUCCUCCUUUCGAUAUCACGCUCGCCGUCCCACCGCCACCACCACCACCACACCAUGUUUCCUCUUGAUUCUUACUUCUUUUUGUAUAUGUUCCCUUGUUCUUCAUUGUUUAUGCUAGAUUGAUAGGAAUUGGCUGCCUUGGUUUGAAUUCUUGCUUGGUAAGUUGAUUUCUAGACAUGGUAGAGGGCUGUCGCCGCCGACGUCGUCUUCAGGGAAUCGGACGCUUCCAAUUUAGU